AUUGAACGCUGGCGGCAGGCCUAACACAUGCAAGUCGGACGGUAGCACAGAGAGCUUGCUCUUGGGUGACGAGUGGCGGACGGGUGAGUAAUGUCUGGGGAUCUGCCCGAUAGAGGGGGAUAACCACUGGAAACGGUGGCUAAUACCGCGUAACGUCGCAAGACCAAAGAGGGGGACCUUCGGGCCUCUCACUAUCGGAUGAACCCAGAUGGGAUUAGCUAGUAGGCGGGGUAAUGGCCCACCUAGGCGACGAUCCCUAGCUGGUCUGAGAGGAUGACCAGCCACACUGGAACCGAGACACGGUCCAGACUCCUACGGGAGGCAGCAGUGGGGAAUAUUGCACAAUGGGCGCAAGCCUGAUGCAGCCAUGCCGCGUGUAUGAAGAAGGCCUUCGGGUUGUAAAGUACUUUCAGCGGGGAGGAAGGCGACGCGGUUAAUAACCGCGUCGAUUGACGUUACCCGCAGAAGAAGCACCGGCUAACUCCGUGCCAGCAGCCGCAGUAA
Molecule: ribosomal RNA, 504 nt
Filed under: uncultured bacterium
Lineage: Bacteria
Description: partial 16S ribosomal RNA
Rfam family: Bacterial small subunit ribosomal RNA
Source: RNAcentral